UGGGGAAUAUUGCACAAUGGGCGCAAGCCUGAUGCAGCCAUGCCGCGUGUGUGAAGAAGGCCUUCGGGUUGUAAAGCACUUUCAGCGAGGAGGAAGGGUUCAGUGUUAAUAGCACUGUGCAUUGACGUUACUCGCAGAAGAAGCACCGGCUAACUCCGUGCCAGCAGCCGCGGUAAUACGGAGGGUGCAAGCGUUAAUCGGAAUUACUGGGCGUAAAGCGCACGCAGGCGGUUUGUUAAGUCAGAUGUGAAAUCCCCGCGCUUAACGUGGGAACUGCAUUUGAAACUGGCAAGCUAGAGUCUUGUAGAGGGGGGUAGAAUUCCAGGUGUAGCGGUGAAAUGCGUAGAGAUCUGGAGGAAUACCGGUGGCGAAGGCGGCCCCCUGGACAAAGACUGACGCUCAGGUGCGAAAGCGUGGGGAG
This 421-nucleotide ribosomal RNA is filed under the name uncultured bacterium. RNAcentral describes it as "partial 16S ribosomal RNA". It matches the Rfam family "Bacterial small subunit ribosomal RNA", at positions 355 to 768 of the family's 1533-position model. The record is from RNAcentral.